AAACUAACAAGGAUUCCCCUAGUAACGGCGAGUGAAGAGGGAAGAGCCCAAGAUUGAAAGCUGGCGUCUUCGGCGUCCGCAUUGUAAUCUCAAGAAGUGUUUUCCGCUUCGGACCAAGCCUAAGUCCCUUGGAAAAGGGCAUCAUAGAGGGUGAUAAUCCCGUACAUGGCUUGGAGCGCCCGAAGCUUUGUGAUACGCUUUCUAAGAGUCGAGUUGUUUGGGAAUGCAGCUCAAAAUGGGUGGUAAAUGCCAUCUAAGGCUAAAUAUUGGGGAGAGACCGAUAGCGAACAAGUACAGUGAUGGAAAGAUGAAAAGAACUUUGAAAAGAGAGUUAAACAGUACGUGAAAUUGCCAAAAGGGAAGGGUAGGAGGUCAGAGAUGCGGCCUGGGAUUCAGCCUUGCUUUUGCUUGGUGUUUUUCCCAGAUUGCAGGCCAACGUCGGUUUUGGGCACUGGAGAAGGGUAGGAGGAACGUGGCACCUCUCGGGGUGUGUUAUAGCCUCCUACUGGAUACAGCGACCGAGACCGAGGACAGCAGCGUACUCGCAAGAGCGGGCCUUCGGGCACCUUUACGCUUAGGGCGUUGGCAUAAUGGCCCUCUACCAC
RNAcentral lists this ribosomal RNA (605 nucleotides) under Moesziomyces aphidis. RNAcentral's name for it is "eukaryotic LSU rRNA". It matches the Rfam family "Eukaryotic large subunit ribosomal RNA", at positions 62 to 648 of the family's 3401-position model. The record is from RNAcentral. Lineage: Eukaryota; Fungi; Basidiomycota; Ustilaginomycetes; Ustilaginales; Ustilaginaceae. RNAcentral also lists the same sequence under 1 other name.